Long non-coding RNA from Homo sapiens (human), 540 nucleotides. NCBI's taxonomy places the organism in Eukaryota, Metazoa, Chordata, Mammalia, Primates, Hominidae. The record is from Ensembl.
AUCUACUCUGCACCAAUAGGCAUACUGCAUGCACCGUGUGCACAUCUCCAUGAUCACCCAUGCUGGCAAUGUGUGCUAAACCCGUGCAUGCCUGCCGAGCACACCCACAGAGUGAACACACAUGGGCACACACAUGCACAUACAUAAGAAUGUCACUAUAGUAGCUAACAUUAAUUGAAUGUUUACUACAUGCUAGGGACUUUUCUAUGAAAUACCUUCUCUAGUCCUCACCACAACUCAUGAAAGAGGUAGGAUAAUCAUCUCCAUUUUACAGAUGAGGAAACUGAGGCUCAGAAAGGUUAAGUAACUUGCCCAAGAUCACACAGCUAGAAAGUGACAGAGAUGAGAAGACUGAAUGCAGAGAAGCUCAAGGUCAAAAGCAAGGUCAGCCUGUACUGAGUAUGAGCACACACACAUCCCAUGUUCUAUUUCUUGUGCUCAGUCUGCAAAGCUGGAACAUGUUCCUAAUUCCCACGCACUCUGGCUGAGUGCUCACAUGGAAUGCACGUGUGCCCAUGAGCUCACGUUUACAUCUGAGUG